GAUGAACGCUAGCGACAGGCUUAACACAUGCAAGUCGAGGGGCAUCAUGAGGUAGCAAUACCUUGAUGGCGACCGGCGCACGGGUGAGUAACGCGUAUGCAACCUGCCCGAUACCGGGGUAUAGCCCAUGGAAACGUGGAUUAACACCCCAUAGUACUUUUAUCCUGCCUGGGAUGUGAGUUAAAUGUUCAAGGUAUCGGAUGGGCAUGCGUCCUAUUAGUUAGUUGGCGGGGUAACAGCCCACCAAGACGAUGAUAGGUAGGGGUUCUGAGAGGAAGGUCCCCCACAUUGGAACUGAAACACGGUCCAAACUCCUACGGGAGGCAGCAGUGAGGAAUAUUGGUCAAUGGACGAGAGUCUGAACCAGCCAAGUCGCGUGAGGGAAGACUGCCCUAUGGGUUGUAAACCUCUUUUAUAAGGGAAGAAUAAGUUCUACGUGUAGAAUGAUGCCUGUACCUUAUGAAUAAGCAUCGGCUAACUCCGUGCCAGCAGCCGCGGUAAUACGGAGGAUGCGAGCGUUAUCCGGAUUUAUUGGGUUUAAAGGGUGCGUAAGCGGUUUAUUAAGUUAGUGGUUAAAUAUUUGAGCUAAACUCAAUUGUGCCAUUAAUACUGGUAAACUGGAGUACAGACGAGGUAGGCGGAAUAAGUUAAGUAGCGGUGAAAUGCAUAGGAUAUAACUUUGAACUCCGAUAGCGAAGGCAGCUUACCAGACUGUAACUGACGCUGAUGCACGAGAGCGUGGGUAGCGAACAGGAUUAGAUACCCUGGUAGUUCACGCCGUAAACGAUGCUCACUGGUUCUGUGCGAUAUAUUGUACGGGAUUAAGCGAAAGUAUUAAGUGAGCCACCUGGGGAGUACGUCGGCAACGAUGAAACUCAAAGGAAUUGACGGGGGCCCGCACAAGCGGAGGAACAUGUGGUUUAAUUCGAUGAUACGCGAGGAACCUUACCUGGGUUUAAAUGGGAAAUGUCGUAUUUGGAAACAGAUAUUCUCUUCGGAGCGUUUUUCAAGGUGCUGCAUGGUUGUCGUCAGCUCGUGCCGUGAGGUGUCGGGUUAAGUCCCAUAACGAGCGCAACCCUUACCGUUAGUUGCUAGCAUGUAAUGAUGAGCACUCUAACGGGACUGCCACCGUAAGGUGAGAGGAAGGCGGGGAUGACGUCAAAUCAGCACGGCCCUUACACCCAGGGCUACACACGUGUUACAAUGGCCGGUACAGAGGGCCGCUACCAGGUGACUGGAUGCCAAUCUCAAAAGCCGGUCGUAGUUCGGAUUGGAGUCUGUAACCCGACUCCAUGAAGUUGGAUUCGCUAGUAAUCGCGCAUCAGCCAUGGCGCGGUGAAUACGUUCCCGGGCCUUGUACACACCGCCCGUCAAGCCAUGGAAGCCGGGGGUGCCUGAAGUCCGUAACCGCGAGGAUCGGCCUAGGG
This 1427-nucleotide ribosomal RNA is filed under the name uncultured organism. RNAcentral's name for it is "16S ribosomal RNA". It matches the Rfam family "Bacterial small subunit ribosomal RNA". The record is from RNAcentral.